Molecule: long non-coding RNA, 271 nt
Filed under: Lathyrus oleraceus (garden pea)
Lineage: Eukaryota; Viridiplantae; Streptophyta; Magnoliopsida; Fabales; Fabaceae
Description: Pisum sativum (pea) long non-coding RNA (PSAT_LNC040097)
Source: RNAcentral
AAAUUUCAUAGGUUUAACAAAAACGUUUUCAUCAUUCAAACAAUCCAAUCAAAUUUCAUAGGUUUAACAACAACAUUUUCAUCAUGCACACAAUUCAAUUAAAUUUCAUGGGUUUAAAAACAACAUUUUCAUCAUUCACACAAUUCAAUCAAAUUCCGUGGGUUUAACAUCAACAUUUUCAUCAUUCCCCCAAUUCAAUCAAAUUUCAUGGGUUUAGCAACAACAUUUUCAUCAUUCACACAAUUCAAUCAAAUUUCAUGGGUUUAGCAAA